This 203-nucleotide ribosomal RNA is filed under the name uncultured archaeon. RNAcentral describes it as "partial 16S ribosomal RNA". It matches the Rfam family "Archaeal small subunit ribosomal RNA", at positions 522 to 724 of the family's 1478-position model. The record is from RNAcentral.
UAGCUGGCCUGCAAGGUCCGUUAGGAAAUCCACUCGCCUAACGAGUGGGCGUCCGGCGGAAACUACAGGGCUUGGGACCGGAAGACUUGAGGGGUACGUCUGGGGUAGGAGUGAAAUCCUGUAAUCCUGGACGGACCGCCGAUAGCGAAAGCACCUCAAGACGACGGAUCCGACAGUGAGGGACGAAAGCUAGGGUCUCGAAC